UACGGAGGGUGCAAGCGUUGUUCGGAAUUAUUGGGCGUAAAGCGAACGUAGGCGGGUUUGUAAGUCGAUUGUGAAAGCCCUGGGCUUAACCCGGGAAUUGCAGUUGAAACUACAAGUCUUGAAUGCUCGAGAGGGUGGUGGAAUUCCUGGAGUAGUAGUGAAAUACGUAGAUAUCAGGAGGAACACCGGAGGCGAAGGCGGCCACCUGGCGAGACAUUGACGCUAAGGUUCGAAAGCGUGGGUAGCAAACAGG
Molecule: ribosomal RNA, 253 nt
Filed under: uncultured bacterium
Lineage: Bacteria
Description: partial 16S ribosomal RNA
Rfam family: Bacterial small subunit ribosomal RNA
Source: RNAcentral